ACCAGGUCUAAACCAAAACUGACCCAGGUCUAAACAGCGUGGAGUUCUUUGUCAGUCCUUUCGUCCGCGGUUACCUGAAGGUCUAUGAGGGCGCAUCUCCGGCGUUUCACCGCUGCUGAUAUCGAGGUGAUUUUAGCGAAUUUGUAUGAAGAAAAACCCACCACUUCAAUCCAGGUUAAAAAAAAAAACACUGUAACGCGCGUUACUCACAUUUGUACCGAGUAAAAUAUUACUAUUUUUUUCCCCUGUAAUGCCUUACAUUACGUUACAGCAAAAAGUAAUGCAUUACUGUAAUUCGUUACUUUUAUAACGCGUUACUCCCAACACUGAAGGCACACUGUACACAGUGAGACCAUUACAUGGAAAACACAAAAUGAGGUUUGUCUAUCACCCCAAUACAAUUGCCUCCCUAUCCCAAAAGUUUCUCAAGUGAAACAAACACCGUAUAUAUGACAUUCACUGGCUCUCUGUCAAUAUCCCUAGUAGUGAGUAGUGUAAAUGACUUUAAGUAUCAAAAACAUUCAGGAAUGUCUCAUGCUUUUAACAAAUUAGAUGGUUGAAACUAAUUGAACAAUGUAAGCUAGUUCAUGUUUAAUUGGUUGAAUUCCUUAUUUCUGAUCUCUGAAUGUUUCCCAUUUAUUGCAGGUGUGAGUUUUCUAGAGGGUAAAGAAGACAUAACACAGGACUGGAGAGAAAAAUUUGUAAAUACAUACAAGGCAAGACUGAUGUUCUGGCCUUUUGUGCAGUUCCUGAACUUUGCCUUGGUGCCCCUGUAUGUGCGGACUGUGUUUACU
This is a long non-coding RNA of Boleophthalmus pectinirostris (great blue-spotted mudskipper), 794 nucleotides long. RefSeq lists it as uncharacterized. The record is from RefSeq and is a predicted model, not a curated record. The transcript has 3 exons. Lineage: Eukaryota; Metazoa; Chordata; Actinopteri; Gobiiformes; Gobiidae.